UACGUAGGGGGCUAGCGUUGUCCGGAAUCAUUGGGCGUAAAGCGCGUGUAGGCGGCCCGGUAAGUCCGCUGUGAAAGUCCAGGGCUCAACCCUGGGAUGCCGGUGGAUACUGUCGGGCUCGAGUCCGGAAGAGGCGAGUGGAAUUCCUGGUGUAGCGGUGAAAUGCGCAGAUAUCAGGAGGAACACCAAUGGCGAAGGCAGCUCGCUGGGACGUGACUGACGCUGAGACGCGAAAGCGUGGGUAGCAAACAGG
RNAcentral lists this ribosomal RNA (253 nucleotides) under uncultured bacterium. RNAcentral's name for it is "partial 16S ribosomal RNA". It matches the Rfam family "Bacterial small subunit ribosomal RNA", at positions 524 to 776 of the family's 1533-position model. The record is from RNAcentral.